CGGAACGUACCUUUCAGUGGGGGAUAACGUAGCGAAAGUUACGCUAAUACCGCAUAUUCUGUGAGCAGGAAAGCAGGGGAUCGCAAGACCUUGCGCUGAUUGAGCGGCCGAUAUCAGAUUAGCUAGUUGGUGAGGUAAAGGCUCACCAAGGCGACGAUCUGUAGCGGGUCUGAGAGGAUGAUCCGCCACACUGGAACUGAGACACGGUCCAGACUCCUACGGGAGGCAGCAGUGGGGAAUUUUGGACAAUGGGCGCAAGCCUGAUCCAGCCAUGCCGCGUGAGUGAAGAAGGCCUUCGGGUUGUAAAGCUCUUUCAGCCGGGAAGAAAACGCAUGGGUUAAUACCCUGUGUGGAUGACGGUACCGGAAUAAGAAGCACCGGCUAACUACGUGCCAGCAGCCGCGGUAAUACGUAGGGUGCGAGCGUUAAUCGGAAUUACUGGGCGUAAAGCGUGCGCAGGCGGUUUGUUAAGAUAGGCGUGAAAUCCCCGGGCUCAACCUGGGAACUGCGUUUAUGACUGGCAAGCUAGAGUAUGGCAGAGGGGGGUGGAAUUCCACGUGUAGCAGUGAAAUGCGUAGAGAUGUGGAGGAACACCGAUGGCGAAGGCAGCCCCCUGGGCCAAUACUGACGCUCAUGCACGAAAGCGUGGGUAGCAGACAGGAUUAGAUACCCUGGUAGUCCACGCCCUAAACGAUGUCAACUAGGUGUUGGGAGGGUAAAACCUUUUAGUACCGGAGCUAACGCGUGAAGUUGACCGCCUGGGGAGUACGGCCGCAAGGUUAAAACUCAAAGGAAUUGACGGGGACCCGCACAAGCGGUGGAUGAUGUGGAUUAAUUCGAUGCAACGCGAAAAACCUUACCUACCCUUGACAUGUCCGGAAGCCCUUAGAGAUUUGGGUGUGCUCGAAAGAGAGCCGGAACACAGGUGCUGCAUGGCUGUCGUCAGCUCGUGUCGUGAGAUGUUGGGUUAAGUCCCGCAACGAGCGCAACCCUUGUCGUUAAUUGCCAUCAUUUAGUUGGGCACUUUAACGAGACUGCCGGUGACAAACCGGAGGAAGGUGGGGAUGACGUCAAGUCCUCAUGGCCCUUAUGGGUAGGGCUUCACACGUCAUACAAUGGUCGGUACAAAGGGUCGCCAACCCGCGAGGGGGAGCCAAUCCCAGAAAGCCGAUCGUAGUCCGGAUCGUAGGCUGCAACUCGCCUGCGUGAAGUCGGAAUCGCUAGUAAUCGUGGAUCAGCAUGUCACGGUGAAUACGUUCCCGGGUCUUGUACACACCGCCCGUCACACCAUGGGAGCGGGUUCCGCCAGAAGUAGGUAGCCUAACCGCAAGGAGGGCGCUUACCACGGCGGGGUUCGUGACUGGGGUGAAGUCGCAACAAGGUA
This 1384-nucleotide ribosomal RNA is filed under the name metagenome. Its description in RNAcentral is "bacterial SSU rRNA". It matches the Rfam family "Bacterial small subunit ribosomal RNA". The record is from RNAcentral.